This 498-nucleotide ribosomal RNA is filed under the name uncultured bacterium. Its description in RNAcentral is "partial 16S ribosomal RNA". It matches the Rfam family "Bacterial small subunit ribosomal RNA", at positions 28 to 523 of the family's 1533-position model. The record is from RNAcentral.
GAUGAACGCUAGCGGCAGGCCUAAUACAUGCAAGUCGGACGGGAUCGGGGAGCUUGCUCCCCGUGAGAGUGGCGCACGGGUGCGUAACACGUAUGUAACCUACCUUUAUCAGGGGGAUAGCCUCUCGAAAGAGAGAUUAACACCGUAUAACAUCACAGGAUAGCAUUAUCGAGUGAUCAAAUAUUCAUAGGAUAAAGAUGGGCAUGCGGGACAUUAGCUAGUUGGCGGGGUAACGGCCCACCAAGGCGACGAUGUCUAGGGGAUCUGAGAGGAUGACCCCCCACACUGGUACUGAGACACGGACCAGACUCCUACGGGAGGCAGCAGUAAGGAAUAUUGGUCAAUGGACGCAAGUCUGAACCAGCCAUGCCGCGUGCAGGAGGGCGGCCCUACGGGUUGUAAACUGCUUUUGUACCGGAAUAAACCCUUUUACGUGUAAGAGGCUGAAUGUACGGUAAGAAUAAGGAUCGGCUAACUCCGUGCCAGCCGCCGCCGUAA